GAUGAAGAACGCAGCAAAAUGCGAUAAGUAAUGUGAAUUGCAGAAUUCAGUGAAUCAUCGAAUCUUUGAACGCACAUUGCGCCCGCCAGUAUUCUGGCGGGCAUGCCUGUUCGAGCGUCAUUUCAACCCUCAAGCCCUCGGGUUUGGUGUUGGGGAUCGGCGAGCCUUUCUGGCAAGCCGGCCCCGAAAUCUAGUGGCGGUCUCGCCGCAGCCUCCAUUGCGUAGUAGUAAAACCCUCGCAACUGGAACGCGGCGCGGCCAAGCCGUUAAACCCCCAACUUCUGAAUGUUGACCUCGGAUCAGGUAGGAAUACCCGCUGAACUUAAGCAUAUCAAUAAGCGGAGGA
Molecule: unclassified non-coding RNA, 346 nt
Filed under: soil metagenome
Description: partial contains 5.8S ribosomal RNA, internal transcribed spacer 2, and large subunit ribosomal RNA
Rfam family: 5.8S ribosomal RNA (bases 1-120)
Source: RNAcentral